RNAcentral lists this long non-coding RNA (573 nucleotides) under Linum usitatissimum (flax). Its description in RNAcentral is "long non-coding RNA (LUSI_LNC003524)". The record is from RNAcentral. Lineage: Eukaryota; Viridiplantae; Streptophyta; Magnoliopsida; Malpighiales; Linaceae.
CCAGAUAUAGUAAGAGGCGCACUCCUGGGGGCAGGAAUAGGAAAGGUUUCGAAAUUCUAUGAAAGACUAUAUGGCAGGGGAAUCUGAAAGGUUUCUCGCUCAAUCCGAUCUUUAUUCAGUGCCAAGACCUUUAUAAGAUAAGCAAUUAGUUAAAUUCGAUACAUUCGAUAUCCUUCUUAAGCUUCAGAACGAAGAUGGUGGGCUCACGUGGGUAGCUCCCGUCUCCUGUAGCCGCCUUGUUCUCUGUUAGUUCAUAAAGUGUCUGACACAGACGCAAAGUCAUGACAACCAGACUAGACUAAUAACGUUACAAGCAGCCAUGACAACCAGACUAGACUAAUAACGUUACAAGCAGCGCAAGGAAAAGUCUGAACGCUUUCCGCAAAGAUGUUGUUAGUUAGCCCCUUUCGACAAGAAAGUGGGAGAAACUGACGAGGAGUGAGUUCAUAAACAGAACUCUUUCAAACCUUUCUUCGGGUUCCUGCUUCUUCGCUCGGAAACGAGGCAGUGAUAUCGUCGUAUUCUUCCGGCUUGGAUCAGUUGGAUCCGGCUUGAACGCAAGCAACGGUUGGC